AUUGAACGCUGGCGGAAUGCUUUACACAUGCAAGUCGAGCGGCAGCACGGGGGCAACCCUGGUGGCGAGCGGCGAACGGGUGAGUAACACAUCGGAACGUACCCUGUCGUGGGGGAUAACGAGUCGAAAGAUUCGCUAAUACCGCAUACGACCUGAGGGUGAAAGCGGGGGAUCGCAAGACCUCGCGCGAUAGGAGCGGCCGAUAUCAGAUUAGGUAGUUGGUAGGGUAACGGCCUACCAAGGCUACGAUGUUUAGGGGACCUGAGAGGGGUGAUCCCCCCACACUGGUACUGAGACACGGACCAGACUCCUACGGGAGGCAGCAGUGAGGAAUAUUGGUCAAUGGGCGUAAGCCUGAACCAGCCAUCCCGCGUGAAGGAAGAAGGCGCUAUGCGUCGUAAACUUC
This 406-nucleotide ribosomal RNA is filed under the name uncultured bacterium. Its description in RNAcentral is "bacterial SSU rRNA". It matches the Rfam family "Bacterial small subunit ribosomal RNA", at positions 30 to 433 of the family's 1533-position model. The record is from RNAcentral.